GGGUUUCUAUAGGUUUGUGGAAUCAGUAAAUUAAAACCCUACAAGCAUAAGUACGGGGGCUGUCCCUGACGAUGGUGAGCAGGCUCAGCAUUUUUGGACUGAGAAGCCUAAAGUUGUUAUAACGGCGACCCACCUAGAGCUAGAACGGGUUUUGGAUUUCUGCCACCACAAAAUUCUGUGGAAACCUU
RNAcentral lists this non-coding RNA (188 nucleotides) under Bdellovibrionales bacterium CG10_big_fil_rev_8_21_14_0_10_45_34. RNAcentral's name for it is "6S RNA". It matches the Rfam family "6S / SsrS RNA". Rfam says of the family: E. coli 6S RNA was the first non coding RNA to be sequenced, but its function was unknown until recently. It consists of 184 nucleotides that fold into an extended hairpin structure with a large single-stranded internal bulge. Lineage: Bacteria; Pseudomonadati; Bdellovibrionota; Bdellovibrionia; Bdellovibrionales. The record is from RNAcentral.